Non-coding RNA from Ictidomys tridecemlineatus (thirteen-lined ground squirrel), 590 nucleotides. NCBI's taxonomy places the organism in Eukaryota, Metazoa, Chordata, Mammalia, Rodentia, Sciuridae. The record is from RefSeq and is a predicted model, not a curated record.
UUGGCCUCUUCUCUUCAUCAGAGAUCAGGCUCCCCCAUGAGGAGGCCACCUGGAUGGACCACCUAUUGGCUUCUGGUCUCAGCUAGGGGCCCGUCUUCAAUGUGCCAGGAAAGGCACACCCCCUACUGAGAUCCAAGGCCAGUAAGACAGACCACUCCAGAUCCCUUACUCUCAGUGACUACAAACCUGCUGAAUGGACAAAGGUUCCCCUCCAUGUGAAGACUCCAUCCUGAGCCCUCCCACCCCAUGCCACCCCCACCCAGGCUCAGAGGAAGGACACAGGAGGUUGCAAGUGGUUGGAAGGCAGUGUGGGUGCAGUGGAGGGGAGGGGAGCCUCGUCUUCCCCUGACUUCUGCUCAGGGACCCCCAGGAAACAUGCACGGCUAUUAACCAGAGGGAGCUGCUGAUGCAAAUCAGCCCGGAUGGCCCUAUAUGUUGUGAGUGGCAGGCACUAACCGUCUGCAUGACAAACCUCCUACAAGAUGCCGGCUAAACUGCCCUUUUGUGCCAAUUAAAGAUUCUCCAGAACACAAAGAUUACACACCAUUCUGCGGUGCUGACAACAAUAAAACAAUUUUAAAGGCUAUUCA